UCGUUUAACUGUAAUCUGAUUACUCUGAGGUGACAGUUUGGAUUUUGGUAUCAGUGAUCUUAUAUGAAGAUAAAAUCUGUCAUUUCGACUCCUCAGUAAGAUGUGUGAUCCGGCUGUGACUGCGUUCGAGCCUGAGGCGUUGGGGAAUCUGGUCGAAGGCCUGGACUUCCACCGUUUCUACUUGAGAACUUGUGGUCCAAGAACAGCAAGCCAGUCCACACCACCAUCCUGAACCCGCACAUCCACCUGGUGGGCGACGAGGCCGCCUGCAUUGCCUACAUCAGAGUGACACAGUACAUCGAUGCCAACGGGACACCUCGCACCGCCCAAUCAGAGGAGACCAGGGUGUGGCAUCGCCGCGACGGAAAGUGGCAGAUUGUCCAUUUCCACCGCUCAGGCUCCGCCUCCACGCUCAGCAACUAACUUCCAAAGUGGGCGGGGCUUUGAUGGGCCACCGUCGCCUUGACUACAGAUUGAUUGACAGCAGGCCAGGCGUCUGACACCAACCAAUCCGGAUUUUGUUUGAGAAGAUUGAUGAGAACAAAACGGCGGAGGAGACGACGGGCCGGAAACCACAUCAUCAAUCAAUCAAUCAAUAAUCAACUUGCCAACCCCUUCUCAGCUCGUUUGAACGUCAGCCACGCCCCCCUCAUGAUCAGCCAAUCAAAUCUUUUGUUGUAGUCUAGCUGCACACAUGGUAAUAACAUGUGGAAACCUUGUAUCUCCAGCUUUUCUUCCUCUGCAGGUUCAGGAGGUUUAAGCAGGACAAACAUCUGUUGACACCACAGCAUGAACAUCUGGCCAUCCAGGAGGUGGUUAGCAUAGCUUAACGUAAACAGUGGAAACAGGGGAAAACUGUUAGCCUGAUUUACAUGAUGUUAACUAAAGUAGAAAAACUGCUAAUUUCAGAUGUUUGGACUCAAAGUCACAUUUAGUUCUUACUUAACCUUUUAGUUCGAGCGUUAGCUAUCUCGUUAGCGAGCUUGUUAGCUUCACCUAAAUCACCUUUAAUCAGCUAAAACUGACUUUCUUUAACAAUAACAAUAAUAAGUGUGGGCUCUGUGUUCUAGUCUUCUGGGAGAUACAAGGUUUUCAACAUUUCUGUUUUUAUCUGCAGAGUCCAGGAGUUGCCCCUGUCACUAAUAAUAAUCGAUUAUCUCAUGAUCACAACUAGAAGACGAACCAGAACAAACUCCAAGUUUUUAUAUGAUGUUUUAAUAUUUUCAUUUUUUACAUUUUUAACGGAACGUUUUAAAUGUGAAUAAUUACCACAAAAACAGAAAAAUAUCCGUUUCAAACAGCUAAAUAUUAGGCAGACUUCGUGUUUUAUUCUCACCAGUCGUCAUGAAUCAUUAGAGUCCAAGUAUUACCCUCAGCCUCAGACCCUUUUAAAACCCUUGGGCUUAUUUUUUACGGUCCGAGCACCACGUUAUUAUUAUUAUACUUUAUUCGUCCGCAGAAAGAAAGACAUUUUUGAGGCCCUAAAAAUACUUGAAAACUCUUGAAAAUUUGCUCCAAUCUGCCUGAAACUUUACAUGUGUGAUCAGAGUCCGGCCUUCAUCAGGUACAUCGGUCAAAAUCUACUUUCAGUCACAGCACCACCUGGUGGACAUGAUUGGAUUGGCUGACUAGUACGAAUGCAAGGACUCGUUCAACACUACUUGCAGGUUUAAUUCGUCUUUUUCAGUCUUUGUCCGUCUUUUGAAUUGUAAUUUUGGUGGCCUAAAAAUACUCAAAAACACGUGUAAAUUUGCACACACAUCAGGACCGACAAUAAAUUUGAUAUUUACGGGAAUGGCACACAUGUGAACAAAAAAUGGCUCAAUAGCGACCCCUGCAAAUUUUCAAACUUUUAUUACGACCAGUAUGUAUGACUUAGACUUAUGAAGUUUGGUACACAUAUGGAACUCAUCAAGAUACACGAAAGUGUGUUUGACAUCCAUGCCCAAAACACCACAGGAAGUCGGCCAUUUUGAAGUAUGUGUCAUAUUUUGGACCAAUUUUUGCACAUUUUCAAAAGCUAUAAACUCAAACACGGUAACCCCGACAGAGCUGAAAUUUGGCCAGGAUGUACAGCAGGCAUGGGUGUUCUUAUUGAAAUGCUCCACAAAAGUCUGACAGCCGGUGGAAUUUUGACGUUUUGCCGUGGAACCGGAAGUGCUGCGUAACUACUCUGUACAUGCUCCAAUCUGCCUCAAACUUUACAUGUGUGAUCAGACUCCAAUCCUGAUCACAUCCAUAGGCCAACAUACACUCUCAGUUGCAGUGCCACCAGGUGGACAUGCGUGGGAUAGCCAAGCCACAAGGAUGCGAGGACCCGACCAGCGCUACUUGCAGCUUUAAUUGGACCAUUCAGCGCUGCUUGCGGUUUUAAUAUCUGUUUUCUUUGGCUUUAACACUGAAAUAUAAAUCAUUUCUGUAAUCUGAAAUUAUUCUUUGAAAAGCAGCAAACUGUUGAUUUUUAAAACCGUUUUUGACCUCAGUUCAUCUCGCACUAGAUGCUAUAAAUAUAAAAGUUUUCAGACACUAUAAAUGUAAAAGUUAUCUUCAGGUGUUGUGAUCUUGAGAUGAUUCAGGUUCUCCUGGACUCUCAGAUUCUUUCUCUGUAAUAUUUAAAUUGUACAAGUGAUGAGGUUUGGACGCUCAUCUCUCUGCUUCCAUCGGAGCGCCAGAGGCUUCCAUUGCUGUCUGAGAUCUUCCAUGAACCCCCUACCCCGUUCUAACGAGCAACCUUAACGAAGUACAUUAACGAGGAACCUUAACGAGCUGUCUGCCUGCACUUCAUUGGAGAAGAAACUUUAUCAUUCAGAGUUUACAGAGAGAUUUAACAGAAGGCAGUUUACUGGGAGAGGAAGAAGUAAAUCAAAAUAAAGGAGCUCAGGAAAAUGGAGGUCGUUUAGUUUCAGAAUCCAAAAUAAAUUCAAUCAUUUCAAACUUCAAAUUUAGGAGAACAUGACAAUUAGACGGGAAUUCAUCAACUGACCUGUUUCUGGGGGACGAACAAACUGACUUGAACUUUAGAAUUUUCACAUUAAAACGGCAAAAAAAGACUCGCAUGACGCUCAGACAGCCAAUCAGAAUCACCCGUCUGACCAGAGUCUGUUGAGAUAAAGUACGGAGUCCCAGAAGUGACCAGACUCACUGACAGGUUUUAAUCAAUACAAAAACAUCCUCUGUGUAUCGAUUAAAACGACAGAAAACAUUUGAAACCAUCUGAACUUUUAAUGCAGAAGCUGAACACUUUCAGAGGUUUGAGUUUUGGCCAGUUUGUCCCCUCCGGGCCUCCGUACUGCUGAUAUCCGGCCUCCCGCUGUGUCGGGGUGUCGGCGGUGUGAAACCUCAUAUCUCCGCCAGGUUUUUGUUGUUGUUGUUGUUUUUUGGAGCCUUAAUGAUCUAAUAACUCAGAGUUUAACCUUCAACAUUAAAGCUGCAUCUUGGAUUGUGAAGUGAAAUAUUAACCUGCUCAGAGUCUCGGUGUUUCUUCAGGAGAUAUGAGGUUUUGUUUGGCUAUCGCUGGACUUCUGCAGCUUCUUUUCUUCCUCUUCAGUCUUUAUUUAUGUACAGAUUCUGUGAUUUUACUGCAUGCUGGACUUGACUUUGUGUUUUGUGUUUUUCGGCUGCUUCGCGCUCCGACUCGGACUAGGUUAGCGUGGCUAGCAUCCCUCAUUGGAAGCAGUGGUGUCUGCUAGCCACAAGCUAAUAAAAUGCCAACACCGCGGACUUUGAUAUUCUGCAACUUUUGAGCCGUUGUGUUCGUCUCAGAGGCUUUAAGCAGCUUUUUACCGUCGGGAGAAUGUAGAACUUUGUACAAUCAGAUUCUUACUAUGACUUGGGAUGUUAUUACUCUGAUAUAUCGCGUUUGUAUGUGGAAGCUUUGUAAUGUUGGAUCGGACUUGCUCGCGUCGUGUGAAUCCACUUUGUGCAUUAUGAGCUUUUUGACUUCUGUUAGUAUGAGAAGUAUUUUAGAGUGUGAACCGCUGAAUGUGUCGCUUCACCGCUGCUUUUAUUUACUCGACAUCUGGGCACCGUUUGGCUUCCUGCUCGGCAACACUCAAAGUCCAGGAGGCCGAACGUCGAAUGGCUUUGGUGUUUUAGUGCAGCUGUUCUCAUCACUGGGGUCAUUCCAGAACUGGAGGACAGGUCUGAAAAUAAAGCAGGUUUCUGCUCCAUAUUGAUCAAUAAUAGGUACUGAUUGUCUCAUUUUUAUUCCAUGUUUCUGUGUUGUUGCUAACCCUACUCUAAUCCAUGCUAAUGUGAUCUUUUUCUCAGCAGUAGAAGCUAGAUAUUUAGCUAGCUGUUAAUGCUGACCACUGAUGGAAAACAGUCCAAAGAAUGAGUCUGAUCCUGAUAAUAUGAGGUAGAGAGAGACAUUCAAUCAAGGCUGACAAUGAAAACGACCAAAACUACAAAAAUGUGACACAAAACGGCAAAAACGUCAUCAACAGGUUCUGCUAACAUGUUGUGUGAUACGUUCAAUGUAUAAUAAUUAUUUAAAAAGUUAUGUUGACUAAAGAUGGGCCUGGGAUCUUUCUGCAUGGAGUUUGCAUGUUCUCCCUGUGCAUGCGUGGGUUUUCUCCGGGUACUCCGGCUUCCUCCCACAGUCCAAAAACAUGCUGAGGUUAAUUGGUUACUCUAAAUUGUCCGUAGGUGUGAAUGUGAGUGUGAUUGUGUGUCUGUAUAUGUAGCCCUGUGACAGACUGGUGACCUGUCCAGGGUGUCCCCUGCCUUCACCAGAGUCAGCUGGGAUAGACUCCAGCACCCCCCAUGACCCUAGUGAGGAUAAAGCGGUGGAUAGAGAAUGGAUGGAUGGAUGUUGACUAAAGAAUGUUCUCAUAAUUACAGAGAGAUCAAUGAAAAGUAAAACCAAAAAACAGUAGAUUUAAAUUAGAUUGUGUUUUAUUAGAGUAACAGAUCGGUCAUCAGGGGGGUGGACAAGAGAAAAAUGGAUUUUAGAGGAACUCCAGACUUUUUUUUGUUAUUUUAAAGGUAUUUCAAACAUUCUUUUCUCCUAGUUUUUAUAGAUUUGGUCUCAGGACAAGAACAUUUACACAACUACUGAUGUUUUAGGGUUUUCUACAUGGAUUAUUUGACGUAGAACGUUCUCCAGUUCUGGUUCUGUUUAUAGUUCCUGUCUUUCGGCCUCCUAGUCUUUGAGCUGCAGCGUCGGGACUCCAGGGGACGCUGUGAGUGAAUGGCUGUUUUCUACCGUAGAUAAUCCGUGUUUUCUAAACUCACUCUGACCUUUGACGACACUUGAAAGUAUUUAGUGGAAAUCUCCGGGGAAAACGUUCCUGCGAAUAUCUGAGAUGUCAUUUUUUUACAACUUUAUUGGUGUUUAUGCUUGAACCAGUAGAUUUGAAACGUUCUCCAUCAGCUGUGAUGUUUGUUCCUGUGAGGCUCAACAGCUUCUUUAGCGGACGACGCUAAAGACUCAGCAGGUCGGAAGUUUAUGUUCUGCACCUUCGCCUGCGGCUCUGAGCGCGCUCAGUACAGGACGCUUUUCUACUGACGUGACGGGAAACAGAAGGACGGACUUCCUGUCACCAGCAGGAGGAGAACCUGUUAGCAUAGUUAGCUGCUAACAUUAGGAGGCAAAUAAUGCUAACCUCAUUGGUCCAGGAUGGACUUCCUGUUGCCUGCAGGAGGAGAACCCAUUAGCAUAGUUAGCUUCUAACACUAGGAUGGCCCGUUAGCAUAGUUAGCUGCUAACAGUAGGAGAACCAGUAAGCAAAGUUAGCUGCUAACACUAGAAUACUAAUAAUGCUAAUGUCAUUGGUCCAGGAGGGACUUCCUGUCACCUGCAGGAGGAGAACCCGUUAGCAUAGUUAGCUGCUAACACUAGGAGGACUUCUUAGCAUAGUUAGCUGCUAACACUAGGAUAACCCAUUAGCAUAACUAACUGUUAACGCGAGGAGAACUUGUUAGCAUAGUUAGCUGCUAACACUAGGAGGACUUCUUAUCAUAGUUAGCUAGCUGCUAACACUAGGAGAACACAUUAGCAUAGCUAGCUGCUAACACUAGGAGGCUAACAUGCUGUUUCCCGUCCGGCUGCUCUGCAGGACCAAUAAUCAGCGAUCACUAAUCGAUUUGGGGCUUUUCUACUCUGCUGUGGUGUUUCUGCUGCAUGCUCGGUGUGGAACUGUGAGCGUGAGUGAGAGAGAGGCUUUCUAAUGUCUUCUUUUGAACUUUUCAGUCGUUUUAAUCUUCUUCUUCUUCUUCGUGUUCAAAGUGUUUCUGUAAAUAAACUGAGGUGGUCAAAUGCU
Long non-coding RNA from Acanthochromis polyacanthus (spiny chromis), 6263 nucleotides. RefSeq lists it as uncharacterized. The transcript is spliced from 3 exons. The record is from RefSeq and is a predicted model, not a curated record. Lineage: Eukaryota; Metazoa; Chordata; Actinopteri; Pomacentridae.